GCCUCUUCGGCUCCUGGGAGGAGCGCCCGCCUUGUACGCGGGAGGGCCGGGUUCGAACCCCGGAUGAGGUC
Molecule: transfer RNA, 71 nt
Filed under: Actinosynnema pretiosum
Lineage: Bacteria; Bacillati; Actinomycetota; Actinomycetes; Pseudonocardiales; Pseudonocardiaceae
Also listed under: 3 other names
Description: tRNA-Thr
Rfam family: tRNA
About the family: Transfer RNA (tRNA) molecules are approximately 80 nucleotides in length. Their secondary structure includes four short double-helical elements and three loops (D, anti-codon, and T loops).
Source: RNAcentral